RNAcentral lists this ribosomal RNA (253 nucleotides) under uncultured bacterium. RNAcentral's name for it is "partial 16S ribosomal RNA". It matches the Rfam family "Bacterial small subunit ribosomal RNA", at positions 524 to 776 of the family's 1533-position model. The record is from RNAcentral.
UACAGAGGGGGCAAGCGUUAUUCGGAUUCAUUGGGCGUAAAGGGUGCGUAGGCGGCGCGGUAAGUCGGGUGUGAAAUCUCGGAGCUUAACUCCGAAACUGCAUUCGAUACUGCCGUGCUUGAGGACUGGAGAGGAGACUGGAAUUUACGGUGUAGCGGUGAAAUGCGUAGAUAUCGUAAGGAAGACCAGUGGCGAAGGCGGGUCUCUGGACAGUUCCUGACGCUGAGGCACGAAGGCCAGGGGAGCAAACGGG